Molecule: ribosomal RNA, 252 nt
Filed under: uncultured bacterium
Lineage: Bacteria
Description: partial 16S ribosomal RNA
Rfam family: Bacterial small subunit ribosomal RNA
Source: RNAcentral
UACGUAGGGUGCGAGCGUUAAUCGGAAUUACUGGGCGUAAAGCGUGCGCAGGCGGUGAUGUAAGACAGAUGUGAAAUCCCCGGGCUUAACCUGGGAACUGCGUUUGAAACUACAAGGCUAGAGUGUGACAGAGGGGGGUGGAAUUCCACGUGUAGCAGUGAAAUGCGUAGAGAUGUGGAGGAACACCGAUGGCGAAGGCAGCCCCUGGGUUAACACUGACGCUCAGGCACGAAAGCGUGGGGAGCAAACAGG